Molecule: non-coding RNA, 3492 nt
Organism: Caretta caretta (loggerhead turtle)
Lineage: Eukaryota; Metazoa; Chordata; Testudines; Cheloniidae
Source: RefSeq, a predicted model, not a curated record
UUUUUUUUCAGGUUAUUUUAUUUUUAAGACAUCUCAAACAUCUAGCUACGUACCUCGCUGGCUCUGUAAAUAUGUAUUCUUUCUAUUGUUUCCCUUGUCCUCUGUUUCCUUUUCCUUCUGACUGUUCAUUACAUUCACCUGUUACAAUUUGUCUUAAAUUAUAUUAUGAACUCUUUGGAAGCAGAGAUAGUCUUCUGUUUUGUGGUUUUUAUAUUGCCUACCACUGUAGAUGCUACUGUAAUCCUGCUACUGACUUUUUAAACUUGUACAUAGUAUAAAGUUUGGAUUUUUAAAGUUUCCCUGGUUCAGCAAAAAUGUAUUCUCUGGUUAUUGGGUUCCACUUUUCUUGUUACUACUAAAAGUCCUAAUUUAAUUUUUGUUUCUAUAUCCUGCUGCUUCAUAAAGCUAGCUUCAGCAAAUGAGGAGUCACUGCUAAUGUUAUGGCUAAUUAAUUGGGAACUGAAAUGAAAGAAUUUCUGACAUUUAACAAAUUUACACAAAGUGUCUUAGAUCAUAAGCUCUUUGGUGGAGUGUCUGGGUCAUUUAUUUGUUCAUUCAGUGCUUAACACACUUGACUGGAGGCUCAAAGUAUGCAAUAGAAAUAGUAAUUGCUGAUUUAAAAUCUUGAUCUUCUGUAUCAGUGUAAAAUUUUGUUCUGUAAGGAACCCUCACUCCUAAAUUUGCACUGCAACUUCUCAUGACAUUGUUGCAGGAGUUCUGCCCACUUUCUAGGUCUAGGCUUUUACAUUUGCAUUUGAAAGAGAAUCCUUAAUUCGCAAGGCUAUAGGAGACAGGGUACUCUGCAACUUGCUGAAAUCUAAAAAGACUUCUGCAAACAAAAUAACACCACAAGUGGGAGGGGUCAGGAGGAAUAUCCCAUUACCUUUCAGCAAAGUGGAGAGGGCCAUCUUCUGCUCUGUCUCCUAUGUGCUGGAGUUCUUCUAGCUAAGGUUAAAUAAAGGGGCUGCUCAAUGGCCUUUCAGUGGUCAGGCAACACUCUGGAGAACAUUAGGUAUUCCACAGAGGGUUUUCUAGUUGGAUCCCAAUCCUAGUAACCAGGUUUCUCAGUAUGGCUAAGAAUAUUGCUGCUAGACCACAGCUUGUUGGAAUAUAAAUUUGAGUUUUCAGAGUCUGCUUUUCCCAUUUCGAUUUUCAAUUAAGUUGACCUUUUCUGAGGCUAUUUCUGCACUAGGAGGCUGGAAUAACUAGUAGCACUUUCUUGUAAAUCGCUCUUCCUGAUAUUUCACAGGCAAAAGUUUCUGCACAAAGUCAACUCUCAUUUUUAUAGAGAUCACUGCAUCGCCUCUCAUUUUGUCCCCAUCUGUUCUCUCUCUCCUUAGGACCUGCUGUGGCUCAAAACCACUUCAUAUUUUAUUAGUCCAGAACCCAGGAUUUUCUCAGAUUAAAUUUUGCUCAUAACAAAGAAGCUGUUUACCUGAAUUAAUAGAGCCUUAUGUCGCACAAUGGUUGGGUAUCCUUGCCUUUUAAGCAUGAGGGUCCCCUACCUUAGAGAGUAGGUCAUUUCAUGGGCUAAAAGUGUCUCCCUCUGUGGUGAUGGCGUGCUAGGCAAUAACUGGGUUGCAGGGGCCAGUCUACAUCUUUACUUGACAUUACCAAACUGAUAUGAUUGGAUGCAACUUGGAAUGCAAAAUACUAAGGGCUGUGAUCCAAAAUGUUUUUCCCUUACCAAUCGUUCUGUUUCAGUAAGCCUGUCCGAGGUUGACCUGGAGUUCUAGCAUAGCCUAGAUUCCAGACUGCUAAAAUCCUCUCAGAAAGGGAGAUUUUGGAUCUUACCUUCUAAUUGACUUUGUGAGGAAGAUCACAAGCCUGGAAGCCUCACCCAGAUACUGAUCUAUUUAGUUGACUUAUUUAUUGGUAGGGAGUUUUUUCAGUUUGAUUUAGCCAAUGUUUCCUUAGGCCUGGUCUACAGUAAGCUCUUAUUUCGGAAUUACCUGAGUUACCUCGAAAUAAAACUGGUUCCGUCCACACGACCAAACCAGUUUCUUCGAUUUAAAGGGCUCUUUACUCCGAUUUCUGUACCCCACCUCGGCAAGUGGAGUAGCGCUAAAAUCGAGACUGCAGUUUCAGGUUACAGGUACUGUGGAUGCAAUUUGACGAUAUUGGCCUCCGGGAGCUACCCCAGAAUGCUCCCUUGUGACCACUCUGGACAACACUCUGAACUCCGAUGCACUAGCCAGGUAGGCAGUAAAAGCCCCGGGAACUUUUGAAUUUCCUGUUUGGUCACCAUCAGCACAGUCCACCAUCACAGGCGACCAUGCAGAGUCUACCAUCACAGGCAACCACGCAGCCCCAGAUUCACAGACGAGCUUCAGCAUGUUCCAAACGGGAGGUACUGGAUCUCAUUGCAUGUUGGGGAGAUGAAUCUGUUAUGGCAGAACUACGUUCCAAAAAAAGGAACGCAAAUACGUAUGCUAAAGUCUCCAGGGCCAUGACGGAAAGAGGCUACUCAAGGGACACAAAACAGUGUCGUACAAAAAUCAAGGAGCUUGGGCAAGCGUACCAAAAAGCCAGGGAGGCGAACAGGCGCUCUAGGUCACAGCCCCAUACAUGCCGCUUCUACCGUGAGCUGAAUGCAAUUUUGGGGGUGAGGACACUACUACCCCACCACUGUCCGUGGACACCUGCAAGGGGGGAGUAGCACGGAGCGAGGAGGAUGAGUUUUUGGAGGACGAAGAGGAGGAGGAGGACAGUGCACAGGCGGCAAGUGGGGAAUCUGUUUUCCCCCCUAGCCAGGAACUAUUCUUAAUGCUGAAGCCAAUAGCCUCCCCCUACUCCCAAAGCAUGCUCCCGGACCAUGACUCUGGAGAAGGCACUUCUGCAGGUGAAAAUGUUUCAAUGUGGCCCCUAUCUACUCCGUCCCAGAGGCUGGUCCAGAUUAGAAGGCGGAAAAAACAAACUCUGGACUACAUGUUUGCCGAGCUCGUGCAGUCCUCCCACACUGAUAGGGCCCGGUUGAAUGUGUGGAGGCAAACAAUUGCGGAGUCGCGUAAAGCGUUACAUGAAUACAAAGAGAGGAGGGACGCAUGCGAUGCUGUGGUCAAGCUCAUGGGGCAGCAAAAUGACGUGCUUCACUGUGUGGUGGAUCUAAUGCGGGAAAGGCAGCAAGACCACAGACUGCCGCUGCAGCCCCUGAACAACUGCCCUCUCUCCUCCCCAAGUUCCAUAGCCUCCUCACCCAGACGCCCAAGAACACAGCAGUUUUGCAGGUACCCCACAUACUGCUGGAUAAUGCGCGAGAUAUUUACAAUGGUCAAAACUACAGCGGAGAUCUGAUCGGGCUCCAUGGCUAUGGCGCCUGCACAGGUAAUCCUGGAAAAAGGGCGCGAAAUGUAGGAGAGCAGAGUGGCAGCAGAAGCUGUGCUGUUUGGUUCACGGUAGCCGAACAAAGGCUGAAAAUGGUUGUCUUCUGUGGCUUUCACGGAGGAGGGUGCCCAGGACAGACAACAUGGAGAAGCUUGGAAGCAUGGCAAU